AACGCACAUUGCGCCCGCUGGUACUCCGGCGGGCACGCCUGUCCGAGCGUCAUUUCAACCCUCGGGCCCCCUCCCUCGCGGAGGCGGUGCCCGGUGUUGGGGCCCGGCCGCCCUCCCCGGCGGCCGUCCCCUAAAUCCAGUGGCGGUCGCGCCGCGAACCCUUGCGUAGUAGAAACACCUCGCACCGGAGAGCGACGCGGUCCACGCCGUGAAACCCCCAACUUUUCAAUGGUUGACCUCGGAUCAGGUGGGAAUACCCGCUGAACUUAA
Molecule: unclassified non-coding RNA, 270 nt
Filed under: uncultured fungus
Lineage: Eukaryota; Fungi
Description: partial contains 5.8S ribosomal RNA, internal transcribed spacer 2, and large subunit ribosomal RNA
Source: RNAcentral